UACGUAGGGAGCAAGCGUUGUCCGGAAUCAUUGGGCGUAAAGCGCGCGUAGGUGGUCCCGUAAGUCCGCUGUGAAAGUCAAGGCUCAACCUUUGAAAGCCGGUGGAUACUGUGGGACUAGAGUACGGAAGAGGCGAGUGGAAUUCCUGGUGUAGCGGUGGAAUGCGCAGAGUAUCAGGAGGAACACCAAUAGCGAAGGCAGCUCGCUGGGACGUUACUGACACUGAGGC
Molecule: ribosomal RNA, 229 nt
Filed under: uncultured bacterium
Lineage: Bacteria
Description: partial 16S ribosomal RNA
Rfam family: Bacterial small subunit ribosomal RNA
Source: RNAcentral